This 860-nucleotide ribosomal RNA is filed under the name Ichthyophthirius multifiliis. RNAcentral describes it as "SSU rRNA". It matches the Rfam family "Eukaryotic small subunit ribosomal RNA", at positions 463 to 1350 of the family's 1831-position model. The record is from RNAcentral. Lineage: Eukaryota; Ciliophora; Oligohymenophorea; Hymenostomatida.
UAUAGUGACAAGAAAUAGCAAGCCAGGAGAUUCUUCUCUACGGCAUUGAAAUGAGAACAGUGUAAAUCUCUUAGCGAGGAACAAUUGGAGGGCAAGUCAGGUGCCAGCAGCCGCGGUAAUUCCUGCUCCAAUAGCGUAUAUUAAAGUUGUUGCAGUUAAAAAGCUCGUAGUUGAACUUCUGCCUAUUUAGCUGGGUUCUCUUAGGCUAAAAUGGGCAUACGUUUGCAAACCAAACUCGGCCUUCACUGGUUCGACUUGGGGAGUAAACAUUUUACUGUGAAAAAAUUAGAGUGUUUCAGGCAGGUUAUAGCCCGGAUACAUCAGCAUGGAAUAAUGGAAUAGGACUGAGUCCAUUUUAUUGGUUAUUGGAUUUGGUAAUGAUUAAUAGGGACAGUUGGGGGCAUUAGUAUUUAAUAGUCAGAGGUGAAAUUCUUGGAUUUAUUAAGGACUAACUAAUGCGAAAGCAUUUGCCAAAGAUGUUUUCAUUAAUCAAGAACGAAAGUUAGGGGAUCAAAGACGAUCAGAUACCGUCGUAGUCUUAAGCUAUAAACUAUACCGACUACGGGAUCGGCUGGAAUACUAUGUCCAGUCGGCACCGUAUGAGAAAUCAAAGUCUUUGGGUUCUGGGGGAAGUAUGGUCGCAAGGCUGAAACUUAAAGGAAUUGACGGAACAGCACACCAGAAGUGGAACCUGCGGCUUAAUUUGACUCAACACGGGGAAACUCACGUAGCGCAAGACAGAGAAGGGAUUGACAGAUUGAGAGCUCUUUCUUGAUUCUUUGGGUGGUGGUGCAUGGCCGUUCUUAGUUGGUGGAGUGAUUUGUCUGGUUAAUUCCGUUAACGAACGAGACCUUAACCUG